CUACGGGGCGCUGCAGUCGAGAAUCUUUUGCAAUGGGCGAAAGCCUGACAAUGCGACGCCGCGUGAGCGAUGAAGGUCUUCGGAUUGUAAAGCUCUGUUGUGGGGGAUGAAAAUGUUUGAGGUUAAUAAUCUCAAACAUUGACAGUACCUCAAGAGGAAGCCACGGCUAACUCCGUGCCAGCAGCCGCGGUAAUACGGAGGUGGCAAGCGUUGUUCGGAUUGAUUGGGUGUAAAGGGCAUGUAGGCGUCCUGGUAAGUCGAAUGUGAAAUCCCGCAGCUCAACUGCGGAACUGCAUUCGAAACUGCCGGGAUUGAGUACGGAAGGGGAGAAUGGAAUUCCCGGUGUAAGAGUGAAAUCUGUAGAUAUCGGGAGGAACACCAGUGGCGAAGGCGAUUCUCUGGGCCGAUACUGACGCUGAAAUGCGAAAGCUAGGGGAGCAAACAGGAUUAGAUACCCUAGUAGUC
Molecule: ribosomal RNA, 465 nt
Filed under: uncultured bacterium
Lineage: Bacteria
Description: partial 16S ribosomal RNA
Rfam family: Bacterial small subunit ribosomal RNA
Source: RNAcentral